This is a long non-coding RNA of Myotis davidii, 839 nucleotides long. RefSeq lists it as uncharacterized. The record is from RefSeq and is a predicted model, not a curated record. The transcript has 2 exons. Lineage: Eukaryota; Metazoa; Chordata; Mammalia; Chiroptera; Vespertilionidae.
CCCCCUCGCCCUGUGACGAUGAGAUAGACUUGGGGAACCGAGGCCAGGUUCAAUCCCAGGUCCCAGCGCCCAGCCCGAUACCAGCCCGGGAGCGACCCAAACCGUGGCAUCUCCGCCCAGACCGGCCAGACGCGUGGCCGCCUUACCCGCUCCCUCCUCCCAGCCCCUUAAAGGUCACCGAGGCCGUGGCUACCACGGCUAUCUCAGCGCCUCGGGAGGCGCGGGCCGCCCUGGGAAAGGUCUCCUGCGGGCGGGGGACUUAAUUGGAUGUUUCCACGCGGGUGAUAAGAAAGGUCAGCUCCCGCCCCUUCUUCACCGGGGCGAGCGGGCGCGGGUGGGGGGGAGCUCGGCCGCUUAGCAGAGCUCCGCACCGCCCUGGCGUCGGUGUCGGUUUUCCCCAGGAGAGAGAAGAAAAGACAGAAUGCUCCAGGCCUAGAAAAGCAGCAAAACAAGACAAGCUACAAGCAUGCCUUGGCUGACUCAGGACCCACAGCAUGGACUGAUGACCCCCUGCCCUGGGGCCAGCCAAUGAGUAGAGACCAGGACCCUGAAAGUCCACGCCUGGAAAGCUGAUGACUGUUCUAUUGGGAUCCUCCCCUGAGACCUCCAGAUAAACACCCUCAAGACCCAGACGGGGGCAGUAGGCAACUCUCUAUGGAGCACUCCUGUGUCUUCCCCCACCGCCUCCCCCCAGGCUCCUUUUCCUUUCCUCUCUCUCCUAAGCUCCAAGGGCCCUUUUGGCUUUGUAACUUGUUCCCUGAGCGCAUGCAGCUCACUUCUUCGAGGCUCACUUGUUCAACAUCUGUGACUUGCUAAAUAAACUUUUCCUUGUAUUUGAA